Molecule: ribosomal RNA, 500 nt
Filed under: Mycolicibacterium fortuitum
Lineage: Bacteria; Bacillati; Actinomycetota; Actinomycetes; Mycobacteriales; Mycobacteriaceae
Description: bacterial SSU rRNA
Rfam family: Bacterial small subunit ribosomal RNA
Source: RNAcentral
UGGAGAGUUUGAUCCUGGCUCAGGACGGAACGCUGGCGGCGUGCUUAACACAUGCAAGUCGAACGGAAAGGVCCUUCGGGGUGCUCGAGUGGCGAACGGGUGAGUAACACGUGGGUGAUCUGCCCUGCACUUUGGGAUAAGCCUGGGAAACUGGGUCUAAUACCGAAUAGGACUCCGGACUGCAUGGUCUGGGGUGGAAAGCUUUUGCGGUGUGGGAUGGGCCCGCGGCCUAUCAGCUUGUUGGUGGGGUGAUGGCCUACCAAGGCGACGACGGGUAGCCGGCCUGAGAGGGUGACCGGCCACACUGGGACUGAGAUACGGCCCAGACUCCUACGGGAGGCAGCAGUGGGGAAUAUUGCACAAUGGGCGCAAGCCUGAUGCAGCGACGCCGCGUGAGGGAUGACGGCCUUCGGGUUGUAAACCUCUUUCAGCACAGACGAAGCGCGAGUGACGGUAUGUGCAGAAGAAGGCCGGCCAACUACGUGCCAGCAGCCGCGGUA